RNAcentral lists this ribosomal RNA (823 nucleotides) under uncultured marine microorganism. Its description in RNAcentral is "bacterial SSU rRNA". It matches the Rfam family "Bacterial small subunit ribosomal RNA", at positions 8 to 879 of the family's 1533-position model. The record is from RNAcentral.
AGAGUUUGAUCCUGGCUCAGAACGUACGCUGGCGGCACGCUUAACACAUGCAAGUCGAACGAAGUAGCAAUACUUAGUGGCAGACGGGUGAGUAACAUGUGGGUAUCUGCCCUUUGGCCUGGAAUAACACGAGGAAACUUGUGCUAAUACCGGAUAAGUCUUUACGGAGAAAGCUUUAUGCACCAUUGGAUGAGCCCGCACUUGAUUAGUUUGUUGGUGGGGUAAUGGCCUACCAAGACUUUGAUCAAUAGCUGAUUUGAGAGGAUGAUCAGCCACAUUGGGACUGAGACACGGCCCAAACUCCUACGGGAGGCAGCAGUGGGGAAUCUUGCACAAUGGAGGAAACUCUGAUGCAGCGAUGCCGCGUGAGUGAAGAAGGCCCUUGGGUUGUAAAGCUCUUUCGUCGGGGAAGAAAAUGACUGUACCCGAAUAAGAAGGUCCGGCUAACUUCGUGCCAGCAGCCGCGGUAAUACGAAGGGACCUAGCGUAGUUCGGAAUUACUGGGCUUAAAGAGUUCGUAGGUGGUUGAAAAAGUUGGUGGUGAAAUCCCAGAGCUUAACUCUGGAACUGCCAUCAAAACUUUUCAGCUAGAGUUUGAUAGAGGAAAGCAGAAUUUCUAGUGUAGAGGUGAAAUUCGUAGAUAUUAGAAAGGAUACCAAUUGCGAAGGCAGCUUUCUGGAUCAUUACUGACGCUGAGGAACGAAAGCAUGGGUAGCGAAGAGGAUUAGAUACCCUCGUAGUCCAUGCCGUAAACGAUGUGUGUUAGACGUUGGAAAUUUAUUUUCAGUGUCGCAGCGAAAGCGAUAAACACACCGCCUGGGGA